Molecule: ribosomal RNA, 479 nt
Filed under: uncultured bacterium
Lineage: Bacteria
Description: SSU rRNA
Rfam family: Bacterial small subunit ribosomal RNA
Source: RNAcentral
AGGACGAACGCUGGCGGCGUGCUUAACACAUGCAAGUCGAACGAGACCCUCUCUUCGGAGGGGUGUUCUAGUGGCGAACGGGUGAGUAACACGUGGGCAACCUGCCCUCAGCUCUGGGAUAACUCCAAGAAAUUGGGGCUAAUACCGGAUAUGACUGCUGACCGCAUGGUCUGGUGGUGGAAAGAUUUAUCGGCUGGGGAUGGGCCCGCGGCCUAUCAGCUUGUUGGUGGGGUAGUGGCCUACCAAGGCGACGACGGGUAGCCGGCCUGAGAGGGUGACCGGCCACACUGGGACUGAGACACGGCCCAGACUCCUACGGGAGGCAGCAGUGGGGAAUAUUGCGCAAUGGGCGGAAGCCUGACGCAGCGACGCCGCGUGGGGGAUGACGGCCUUCGGGUUGUAACCGUCUUUAGUAGGGUAAGAAGCGAAAGUGACGGUACCUGCAGAAAAGCACCGGCUAACUACGUGCCAGCAGCCGC